This is a small nuclear RNA of Nycticebus coucang (slow loris), 196 nucleotides long. RefSeq annotates it as U2 spliceosomal RNA. The transcript has a single exon. The record is from RefSeq and is a predicted model, not a curated record. NCBI's taxonomy places the organism in Eukaryota, Metazoa, Chordata, Mammalia, Primates, Lorisidae.
AUCGCUUCUCGGCCUUUUGGCUAAGAUCAAGUGUAGUCCAGAUGGGAUCCUGGACCAUAAAAAGGACACGAGGCUACAAAUAAGGACAUCUGAAUAAAAUAUAAACUUCAGCUAAUAAUAAUUUAUCAGAUUGGUUCAUUAUUUGUAUCAAAUUUAUCAUUGUAAUGUACAAUGUUAACGAUAGGAGAAACUCGGU